CCUGAUUUUCAAACCGAACUUGUGGGGAUUGUUCCUCCUCUGAUCCUUUGUGACUCUUUGUGACUCCUUUGUGACUCCUUUGUGACUCCUUUGUGACUCCUGGGGGCUGGAGAGGGCCCCACCACUGUGCACACACAGGGACCGACCUGUGUGUGCAGCUCUGAGCUCUGGGCUCAUUAACAACCACCAGGGAGUUUUAAAGUUCAGCCCUACUGCAGCAAUAGGUUCAGGUCUUCCACAGUCCCUCCCAGGUCUGCAUCUCCAGGUGUUCUGCCAGGGUGGCUCAUUCUCGUCCUCCUUUGCUCACCAGGGAGUGAAGCAGGGGCAGGCACAGGGAUUUGCUCACUGCAAGUGGCCAGGCUCCCCUCUGGAAGCUCCUGCCCUCCCACCAGCUCCUGCCUCCACUUCUCCAUUGCAGCAGCAUUCGUGGCCAACCCCACUGGAAUAAUUUUCUGCUUUCAAAUGAAUCAUGCUGAGGAAUUCAUGAUGUGGGAGCGACAGGAUUAUUUUUGCUUCUGUCACGGAUGCUGGCAGAGUGACCCCUGCUCCUCCCGCUGGUGCUGCAGCUCAGCCCAGGGCAGUGACAGCCCUCCUGGCCCUGGGGAGCCCCGGCUGUGCCCUGUGGUGGCCCAGCCCGCGGGGAGGGCUCCCAGGCCCUGCCUUCAGGACAGGGUUUGCCUGGCUCUGCUGCACAUCCUCCCUUCCUGGCCUGGCUCUGUCCUCGUUCCGUGCAGGGCCUGGCACGCACAGAGCGCUGAGGAUCAGCAGUCCUGGGACAAAGCACAGACAGGCUGCUCAAGGACCUUGCAAGCACCAGAAUAAACCAAUUUUGGUGCAUUUUACUGUUUCUAAGAUAAUUUCCCCCCAUUUGUUUCUACCAUGUGGUCGUUUGUUGCUUCCAAAACCAAACCAACACAACCCUUUCAUUAUCAGCAGAAAAUCCUUUCAAAACUCUUCUCCUGUGUCUUUCCCAAUGUAGGGCUGUGAGCUGGACAAAGAAGUCUUGCCCUAAAUUUCCCGUAAGUGGAGGAGCUGCGGGGUGGGGCAGCUGAGCAGGGCCGGCUGGGAGCGGCUGGAGUUGGGC
This 1084-nucleotide long non-coding RNA is filed under the name Taeniopygia guttata (zebra finch). Its description in RNAcentral is "lncRNA (ENSTGUG00000029549.1)". The record is from RNAcentral. Lineage: Eukaryota; Metazoa; Chordata; Aves; Passeriformes; Estrildidae.